AGGAAAGAGGAAGUCUUCGUCGAGGGGACGAUUAGACUUUGAGGCCUUCCUGUCUAAUGGCAGAACCGAGGCCUGGUGGAGGAUGCUGGGAGCAGGGCUGAUAAUGUGCCUGGGAGAUCUGGUUCUGUUUCAAAGGUCAGCGUCAUUACAGAGCAGCAGAUAAACGUGAGGUCAAAGAUUCCUCCGGACAAAGACACCUUUAAGAGCCCAAUUCCAUGUGACUGCCCGUGGCGCCAAACCCUGUGAGGUGACAUCUGCCGGGCACGAUCCUGGUGUGAAGCUUUUUUUGUCCUUGGGCGGGAUAAUACGAUAGGUGCACACAUGCAGAGAUUCAGGUA
Molecule: long non-coding RNA, 338 nt
Organism: Aplysia californica (California sea hare)
Lineage: Eukaryota; Metazoa; Mollusca; Gastropoda; Aplysiida; Aplysiidae
Exons: 3
Source: RefSeq, a predicted model, not a curated record